This 257-nucleotide ribosomal RNA is filed under the name uncultured bacterium. Its description in RNAcentral is "partial 16S ribosomal RNA". It matches the Rfam family "Bacterial small subunit ribosomal RNA", at positions 524 to 776 of the family's 1533-position model. The record is from RNAcentral.
UACGGGGGGGGCAAGCGUUGUUCCGGAAUUACUGGGGCGUUAAAGGGCUCGUAGGCGGCCAACUAAGUCAGACGUGAAAUCCCUCGGCUUAACCGGGGAACUGCGUCUGAUACUGGAUGGCUUGAGGUUGGGAGAGGGAUGCGGAAUUCCAGGGUGUAGCGGUGAAAUGCGUAGAUAUCUGGAGGAACACCGGUGGCGAAGGCGGCAUCCUGGACCGGCAUUGACGCUGAGGCGCGAAAGCUAGGGGAGCAAACGGG